Non-coding RNA from Drosophila melanogaster (fruit fly), 501 nucleotides. NCBI's taxonomy places the organism in Eukaryota, Metazoa, Arthropoda, Insecta, Diptera, Drosophilidae. The record is from Ensembl.
UGCGAUUACGAGGCGACGGCCGUGUGGCCAGCGUUUUUGGGUUUUGUCGGGUUGUGGGAUCGGGUGAAAUUAUGGCAUAAGUUACUUAGGAGUAAAGCUGGUUUCCUGCUCCUGCUCCUGCUUCUGCUCCCCGGAACUUCCCCACCAUUCACAGCCAGCCACCCACUUUCCAGCCCCCCGGCGGAAUCAACUUGGCUACACUUUACUUUUAUGUGGCGCGCUCGGAAUGUACUCGCUGGCGAAAUAAAGAUACAGAUACAGAGAUACGCAGAGAGUGCCCAGAUACAAGCACAUUUGUAGCGAUAAGCGUCAUAAAGUUAUCGUAAGUAAGCGCCGAAAAAAGUCUACGAAAUAGAUACAAAAAAAAGACGGAAGCAUGAGCUUACAGUGGGGCUUGGAUUUCUGAUCCUCUACCAAAAUACAGUGAAUGCUAGUGUUUGUUGAAAGAAAACGAAAGCCUUUAGUUUAGGAAGUGGUCAUUCCUGAAUACAUCAAAAUGUA